CGGACGGGUGAGUAACGCGUGAAUCACAUGCCCUUCAGAGGGGGAUAGCCCAGGGAAACUUGGAUUAAUACCCCAUGGUCUCGCAAGAGUAAACGGUGGCCGCAAGGCUGUCGCUGGAGGAUUGGUUCGCGCCCUAUCAGCUUGUUGGCGGGGUAACGGCCCACCAAGGCUACGACGGGUACCUGGUCUGAGAGGACGAUCAGGCACACUGGAACUGAGACACGGUCCAGACACCUACGGGUGGCAGCAGUCGAGAAUAAUUCACAAUGGGGGCAACCCUGAUGGUGCAACGCCGCGUGGAGGAUGAAGGUCUUCGGAUUGUAAACUCCUGUCAUCCGGGAGCAAGACCUGACGGUUAACAGCCGGCAGGGUUGAUAGUACCGGAAGAGGAAGGGACGGCUAACUUCGUGCCAGCAGCCGCGGUAAUACGAAGGUCCCGAGCGUUGUUCGGAAUCACUGGGCGUAAAGGGAGCGUAGGCGGCGUGGUAAGUCAGAUGUGAAAUCCCGGGGCUCAACCCCGGAACUGCAUCCGAUACUGCCGUGCUAGAGGAUUGGAGAGGUAGCUGGAAUUCACGGUGUAGCAGUGAAAUGCGUGGAUAUCGUGAGGAACACUCGUGGCGAAAGCGAGCUACUGGACAACUCCUGACGCUGAGGCUCGAAGGCCAGGGUAGCGAAAGGGAUUAGAUACCCCUGUAGUC
RNAcentral lists this ribosomal RNA (698 nucleotides) under uncultured Verrucomicrobiota bacterium. Its description in RNAcentral is "bacterial SSU rRNA". It matches the Rfam family "Bacterial small subunit ribosomal RNA", at positions 99 to 795 of the family's 1533-position model. The record is from RNAcentral. Lineage: Bacteria; Pseudomonadati; Verrucomicrobiota.